This 423-nucleotide long non-coding RNA is filed under the name Calidris pugnax (ruff). Its description in RNAcentral is "lncRNA (ENSCPUG00000003452.1)". Lineage: Eukaryota; Metazoa; Chordata; Aves; Charadriiformes; Scolopacidae. The record is from RNAcentral.
CACUUUUGGUGCCAAAGGCAAUUGCUGUUUUUCAGGUGAGGUCUGCUGGGAGCUUGGCUAUUGCAAAGCAGGGAUUUGAAAUGCUUGGCUUAUGCAGCGGGUAUCACAGAUUUACUGAGUGUAUCCUGUCAUUUUCACUCUCUCCAGGGAAAGGACUUUCCAGUGAAACAAACUGAGAAAAAAAUGACUGAGUGGUUGAUCUUCCCUCCACCCAGCAUCAGUGUUUCGUGGCUGUGUGUAGGGACCGCCAAGCAGCGUGAAGCACAGUGUAGGACAGAGGCUCCUCCGGGUGCUGGUGCUCCCACUGACACUGGUUAGAGGUGUCCAGAAACUUCUUGGUUAAGUGAUAAGGAACAGCACAACUUCAAACAGAACAAACUGAUCACCUGCUGCCUCCUCAAGCCUUCCAACCGGUAUCACUCC